UGGAGAGUGGCAAAAAUGGGCUCUUUUAAGUAUUAAAUGAUAGAAUUAAGAAUAAAUUAUAAAUAUAUUUUGGGUCAAAAUAAUUCAUCAUUUCAAGAACAUUUUGAUUUUGCAAUAUAAUUUAUCAUUUUCAAGAAAACUUUUUACUUUGCAAUAUAAUUUUACAAAAUAUUGACUGCAAUCACAUGUUUAGAUAAAUUAAUUAUGUAAUGCUUUUUAAUCUAUGUUUUGUGUGUGUAAUAUCUCUUUUUCAAAUCUAAUUUAAACCAGCCCUGACAAUCCACGUGCAGUGGGGAAAGGGGGAGACUGGUUUUAAUCAGACUGUCUUUUUUUGCAGAAAGUAGUUUAUUCAACAGAACUUGGCUCCAUUGGAAAGUGGCGAAAGAUGGGCUCUUAAGUAUAUGGUUAUUAAUAAAAGUGUUCAGAAUAAAAUAUCAAUAUAUUUUAGGUCAAAUAUAAUUUAACAAAUUCAUGAAAAUUUUGACCUUGCAAUAUUAUUUUUCAAAUUCAAGAAAAUUGAUUUUCCCAUUACAUGUUGAAAUAAAUUUAUAAUGUGUUUUGUUUCCUAUCUUUCUUUUUGCAUUUUAUUUCAAACCAGACUUUAAAAAUUAUCACUAAAUAACCAAAAGAUUUGAAGUUUUCAGGUUCAUGGAAAGCCAUAUUUGUAUGGGGUAAUAUCUUGUUACCGGGGUAAUAGUAAUAUAAAAAAGUAUAUUAGCAAUAUUUUGCGUAUAGUGGUCACAAUAAAUAACCUUAUUUACAGGGAUAUAUGUGCACUACAUUAUAGAUCGACAGAAAAAUAUUUUUAUUUAAAAGUAAAUGUACUAAUGCAAAUAAAUGUCAUAUAAUAACUUCAGAAAUACAUCUUAUUUACUAGCCAUUUCUAUAUUAACAUUUAACAAUCUAACAAACUUAACACUUUGUCUUUGUCAUUGUUAUGUCUAAUUUUCCUUGGUAUGUCUAAUCUUCAUUGGUAUGUCUAAACUUCAUUGGUCAUUUCUGAGUGGUGUUUUCUUUAUUUGGUGCUAUUUUGCUGGUUUGAAUUGUUUCCUUUGUUUAAUAGUUGAAAUGUUAUCUAUAAUUUCUAUAGAAUUUCUUAGUUAUGUAUUUCUGAAGUUUCUUUGUAAGAUAUUUUAAGCUUUAAAAAGUUUUUUUCAUGACUUUCUCAUUUGAUGCAGUUAACAAUUAAAUUUUUUUGGGUAAUUAUUUCAAAAUUAUAUAACUAGUGUACUGCAUGCAGUAGUCCAUUAUCCUUCACAUUACUAAAGUUGUCAAGAUCCUUGUCCAUAUUUGUUUUUAUCAUUUGCUUCAGGGUUUCUGGGGGUACCUAAUGGCGAACAACGGAUUAUUUUGGUACAUGACAAUAAAAUUUACAUUUUUUCAGACUACAAAAAAAAUCAAGUUAAUUUCUUUUUCCAAAAAUUAAGAUACAAUAAUUAAUUAAUAUUGACCUUGGAGGAAUCACUAUAAGGAUUUUUUUGACAAAUCACAGUAAAACUUUACCAAUUUCAUGCUAAUGGUAGCCUAAAAUUACAGUUUGACGCUUAACAUUAAAGGAGGUUAUAUAAAUAAAUAUAUGUGGAUAGCAGCUCCUUAUGAUUUGUUUUAAAAGUCUGCCAGUUCACCAAUAAUGCCAAACCAAUAUUAGAAUAAAUGUCGUGAAUAUGCAUGCAAUAUAUCCAACUGGACAUCAACUGGCUUCAACGAGUUGGAAUAUUUUUGAAAGAUAGUUAUAUCCUAGCAAGAGAUCUCCAUUUGGCAUUACCAGAACCAGAUCUGAUGGAAGAAGACAAACUUUCCAUUGAUGAUGGCAGACUUGUUUCAAUCAGAAAGAUGGUCAUAUUUGAUGCAUCAAGAAAUCAAGGCUUUUCCAUGUUUAUUUUAAGUGUAUUUUUAUAAAUUGAGGUACUACAGUCUGAAGACUUGACAAUGAGGAACAUUUCAUCAACAGAACAGAUGAAACUAGCAAUCAGGAAGAGAUUUUUUUCCUCAAUUUUGAAAUGGUUUAAUGCAAAACUUGAGCUUCAUUCAAUGCUGGCCUCAAUAUUCACAAAGUUCCAUUGGGAAGAAAUUUACCUGAUGUUUAGGUAAGUCAGCAUUACUACAAAUACAAUACACAAAUGCAGUUUAAGAGAAAGGUUGUAUCCUUUUAUAAAAUUUUCUUGUUAAAAAAUUCAGUUGAGUUAUUUCCCUUGAUUCUACCAGUUUAUAUAUUUUAUAGCUUCAAAACUAAUUGACACAUGACAGGACUCAUUGCUCAAUGAAUUUCUUUUCAUUAAUAACUCAUAACCUUCAAUAUAAACUAAUCAUGUAAAAAUAUGUGCAUCACAUAAGCAUACUUAGAAAAGGGGGGAUGCAUUGCUGAAAAUUAUUUCAAGGGAGAUAAUUUUAGAGAUUUUUUCUUCAGGACCAAAUAUUAUAAUACAAUAUUAUAUCAUCAUCAUAUUUACAAAUAGGGCUGACAUAACAUUUGUAUCUUACUCUAAGGUUCUAAAAUUUAUCAUUCCAUUUUUAGGUAUUAUUUGAUGCUUCCAAUUCUGGAAUUUCUUUAGGGAAAAGGUGGA
Long non-coding RNA from Mytilus trossulus (common blue mussel), 2564 nucleotides. RefSeq lists it as uncharacterized. NCBI's taxonomy places the organism in Eukaryota, Metazoa, Mollusca, Bivalvia, Mytilida, Mytilidae. The transcript is spliced from 4 exons. The record is from RefSeq and is a predicted model, not a curated record.